AACACAGGUCAAAGUACGGCCUUUUACACAGGGCUUUGAUACAGACCAAACAGCAAGCUAUAAAGGAUCCCAAAAUUAUUAGCGUACACAAUUCGAACAGGAAAACCAACGAUCUAAUUUAUAUAUCCAAACGGGAAAAUACCAAUGAACAACAUCAACAAACGAUAACUGCUGAACGACAGGCCCCUGGAUCAAUCAGGACAGGUGCAUAAACAUGCAGCGGCUAUAGAUAGUUUUGUUUUGCCAGCAUAUAAUAUAAUUGCAGUUGAAGGCAAAUCCUUCAGAAGUUCUUUGUACUUUAUUCUAACAACGAACAUUUUUUGAUAGGGAAGAUAAGUAAGGGG
RNAcentral lists this long non-coding RNA (344 nucleotides) under Mytilus galloprovincialis (Mediterranean mussel). The record is from RNAcentral. Lineage: Eukaryota; Metazoa; Mollusca; Bivalvia; Mytilida; Mytilidae.